RNAcentral lists this unclassified non-coding RNA (341 nucleotides) under soil metagenome. RNAcentral describes it as "partial contains 5.8S ribosomal RNA, internal transcribed spacer 2, and large subunit ribosomal RNA". The stretch from base 1 to 120 matches the Rfam family "5.8S ribosomal RNA", at positions 35 to 154 of the family's 154-position model. The record is from RNAcentral.
GAUGAAGAACGUAGCGAAAUGCGAUAAGUAGUGUGAAUUGCAGAAUUCAGUGAAUCAUCGAAUCUUUGAACGCACAUUGCGCCCUUUGGUAUUCCAAAGGGCAUGCCUGUUCGAGCGUCAUUUGUACCCUCAAGCUUUGCUUGGUGUUGGGCGUCUUGUCUCUAGCUUUGCUGGAGACUCGCCUUAAAGUAAUUGGCAGCUGGCCUACUGGUUUCGGAGCGCAGCACAAGUCGCACUCUCUAUCAGCAAAGGUCUAGCAUCCAUUAAGCCUUUUUUUCAACUUUUGACCUCGGAUCAGGUAGGGAUACCCGCUGAACUUAAGCAUAUCAAUAAGCGGAGGA